RNAcentral lists this small RNA (39 nucleotides) under Arabidopsis thaliana (thale cress). RNAcentral describes it as "ATSL248700". The record is from RNAcentral. Lineage: Eukaryota; Viridiplantae; Streptophyta; Magnoliopsida; Brassicales; Brassicaceae.
UUUGGUGCUUUCAUUGAGAGGAAAAAGAAACGAUGGCUC